RNA transcript from Arabidopsis thaliana (thale cress), 241 nucleotides. RefSeq lists it as uncharacterized. The record is from RefSeq. The transcript has 2 exons. Lineage: Eukaryota; Viridiplantae; Streptophyta; Magnoliopsida; Brassicales; Brassicaceae.
AAAACUUAAAAGGAUAAAGAAGAAAGGCACUAUCACCAGGAGCCUCCACCUCCCUUUGUCUAAUUUCAUUUCAACUACCAAUACCAUUACCAUCCACCAUUUUUAAAUAGUCUUAUAUCCAACCAUUGGCAAAAAGAAUUAUCUAAUAUUGAUGAUUCAACAACUAAUAUUGAACUAUUUUGAUAUAUUUACUCGGCUUGAUGCGUAAUAAUUUUUUGCAGUUUGUUUCAUGGUAUUGUCA